Molecule: long non-coding RNA, 229 nt
Filed under: Gossypium barbadense (sea-island cotton)
Lineage: Eukaryota; Viridiplantae; Streptophyta; Magnoliopsida; Malvales; Malvaceae
Description: long non-coding RNA (GBAR_LNC011920)
Source: RNAcentral
AACAACCAAACAAAAAAGAGAAUGAAAAUACAAGGGGGAAGGUAGAGGUAGUGGAAGAUGAAGAGAAGGAAAAUUAGAUGGGAACACAAGUGGAAGAGAAUAAAGACAGGGGGCUUUAGAGAUCAAAAGGCAAUGACCAAUCAAGAGGUCAUGACACUACCUCAAAGAGGCUAACGUGAAGGGAGAAACCCUAAGAGAAAAUAAUAUUACAAAUUAUGUAUGAUAGUCA